RNAcentral lists this long non-coding RNA (586 nucleotides) under Thrips palmi. RNAcentral describes it as "uncharacterized LOC117646369, transcript variant X1". Lineage: Eukaryota; Metazoa; Arthropoda; Insecta; Thysanoptera; Thripidae. The record is from RNAcentral.
UAUUUCCGCAACGCCAUCCCGAGACAAGAGGCUAGUUCCACAACUGCGAGGGCCAUGAAUUCGGUCUCGAUGGUCUGCAGCAAGAAGCCUGUCGAUCUGUUGCUGCCCCAGCGUCCCGCCCCCAGCGGAUCCUGACCUCACAGUCACUGAAGGAGUUUUCAACGUAGAAUCCUAAGCACUGGCCUGGACUGCAGUUUGGUUGAUACUUCAAGGUUUUUCCGAGGUGCAAAUAACAACCAAGAAGGAUUUUAUUUCACUCCCCACAGCAACGAAUCUUUUUAGCAGUAUGUCACCAGAAGGUUGCCUUUCAAGACCGUGGAACUCCACUCCUUGAUGGAAAGAUCAAGACUGUUUCAUCUUCUUGUGGAGAUCUGCUUCUCCAGACUGACUGAUUUUCUCAUUAUGAGCCUGCUUUACCUGUGCUUUUCUGUAGCACAUGAUGUUCAUAUUUGCUGUCACCGUUGAGAAAGAUUCCGUUUCUUUUGAAUGGAGAGAGAAGGGAGGAGGGAGGGUGCUUCUCAAAGAAAACAAACAUUUUGUUGGGGUUUCAACUUGUUUCAAACCAUCAAGCUGCUCUACUCCUGUG